RNAcentral lists this ribosomal RNA (441 nucleotides) under uncultured bacterium. Its description in RNAcentral is "partial 16S ribosomal RNA". It matches the Rfam family "Bacterial small subunit ribosomal RNA", at positions 338 to 795 of the family's 1533-position model. The record is from RNAcentral.
CCUACGGGAGGCAGCAGUGGGGGAUAUUGCACAAUGGGGGGAACCCUGAUGCAGCGACGCCGCGUGUGGGAAGACGGUCCUCUGGAUUGUAAACCACUGUCCCCAGGGACGAAAAUGACGGUACCUGGGGAGGAAGCUCCGGCUAACUACGUGCCAGCAGCCGCGGUAAUACGUAGGGAGCGAGCGUUGUCCGGAAUUACUGGGUGUAAAGGGAGCGUAGGCGGAAGAACAAGUUGGUUGUGAAAUCCCUCGGCUCAACUGAGGAACUGCAACCAAAACUAUUCUCCUUGAGUGUCGGAGAGGAAAGUGGAAUUCCUAGUGUAGCGGUGAAAUGCGUAGAUAUUAGGAGGAACACCAGUGGCGAAGGCGACUUUCUGGACGAUAACUGACGUUGAGGCACGAAAGUGUGGGGAGCAAACAGGAUUAGAUACCCGAGUAGUC